RNAcentral lists this ribosomal RNA (795 nucleotides) under uncultured bacterium. RNAcentral describes it as "bacterial SSU rRNA". It matches the Rfam family "Bacterial small subunit ribosomal RNA", at positions 8 to 796 of the family's 1533-position model. The record is from RNAcentral.
AGAGUUUGAUCCUGGCUCAGAUUGAACGCUGGCGGCGUGCCUAACACAUGCAAGUCGAGCGGUAACAGGUGUAGCAAUACAUGCUGACGAGCGGCGAACGGGUGAGUAAUGCUUCGGAAUCUACCCAGUAGUGGGGAAUAACCAGCCGAAAGGUUGGCUAAUACCGCAUACGUCCUACGGGAGAAAGCGGGGGAUCGCAAGACCUCGCGCUAUCGGAUGAGCCGAAGCCGGAUUAGCUAGUUGGUAGGGUAACGGCCUACCAAGGCGACGAUCCGUAGCUGGUCUGAGAGGACGACCAGCCACACUGGGACUGAGACACGGCCCAGACUCCUACGGGAGGCAGCAGUGGGGAAUAUUGGACAAUGGGGGAAACCCUGAUCCAGCGACGCCGCGUGUGUGAAGAAGGCCUGCGGGUUGUAAAGCACUUUUAGUGGGGAUGAAAAGCCCGGGGAUAACACCUCCGGGUCUUGACCUAACCCACAGAAAAAGCACCGGCUAACUCUGUGCCAGCAGCCGCGGUAAUACAGAGGGUGCGAGCGUUAAUCGGAAUUACUGGGCGUAAAGCGUGCGUAGACGGUCGUGUAAGUCGGGUGUGAAAGCCCCGGGCUCAACCUGGGAAUUGCAUUCGAGACUGCAUGGCUAGGGUGCGGAAGAGGGAAGCGGAAUUUCCGGUGUAGCGGUGAAAUGCGUAGAUAUCGGAAGGAACACCAGUGGCGAAAGCGGCUUCCUGGUCCGACACCGACGUUCAGGCACGAAAGCGUGGGGAGCAAACAGGAUUAGAUACCCCGGUAGUCC